This 2304-nucleotide ribosomal RNA is filed under the name Citrobacter sp. Ca225. RNAcentral describes it as "partial 23S ribosomal RNA". It matches the Rfam family "Bacterial large subunit ribosomal RNA", at positions 644 to 2925 of the family's 2925-position model. Lineage: Bacteria; Pseudomonadati; Pseudomonadota; Gammaproteobacteria; Enterobacterales; Enterobacteriaceae. The record is from RNAcentral.
GGUUAACCGAAUAGGGGAGCCGAAGGGAAACCGAGUCUUAACUGGGCGUUAAGUUGCAGGGUAUAGACCCGAAACCCGGUGAUCUAGCCAUGGGCAGGUUGAAGGUUGGGUAACACUAACUGGAGGACCGAACCGACUAAUGUUGAAAAAUUAGCGGAUGACUUGUGGCUGGGGGUGAAAGGCCAAUCAAACCGGGAGAUAGCUGGUUCUCCCCGAAAGCUAUUUAGGUAGCGCCUCGUGAAUUCAUCUCCGGGGGUAGAGCACUGUUUCGGCUAGGGGGCCAUCCCGGCUUACCAACCCGAUGCAAACUGCGAAUACCGGAGAAUGUUAUCACGGGAGACACACGGCGGGUGCUAACGUCCGUCGUGAAGAGGGAAACAACCCAGACCGCCAGCUAAGGUCCCAAAGUCAUGGUUAAGUGGGAAACGAUGUGGGAAGGCUCAGACAGCCAGGAUGUUGGCUUAGAAGCAGCCAUCAUUUAAAGAAAGCGUAAUAGCUCACUGGUCGAGUCGGCCUGCGCGGAAGAUGUAACGGGGCUAAACCAUGCACCGAAGCUGCGGCAGCGACACUAAGUGUUGUUGGGUAGGGGAGCGUUCUGUAAGCCUGUGAAGGUGUGCUGUGAGGCAUGCUGGAGGUAUCAGAAGUGCGAAUGCUGACAUAAGUAACGAUAAAGCGGGUGAAAAGCCCGCUCGCCGGAAGACCAAGGGUUCCUGUCCAACGUUAAUCGGGGCAGGGUGAGUCGACCCCUAAGGCGAGGCCGAAAGGCGUAGUCGAUGGGAAACAGGUUAAUAUUCCUGUACCAGGUGUUACUGCGAAGGGGGGACGGAGAAGGCUAUGUUGGCCGGGCGACGGUUGUCCCGGUUUAAGCGUGUAGGUGUGUGUUCCAGGUAAAUCCGGUUCACUUUAACACUGAGGCGUGAUGACGAGGCACUACGGUGCUGAAGCAACAAAUGCCCUGCUUCCAGGAAAAGCCUCUAAGCAUCAGGUAACAUCAGAUCGUACCCCAAACCGACACAGGUGGUCAGGUAGAGAAUACCAAGGCGCUUGAGAGAACUCGGGUGAAGGAACUAGGCAAAAUGGUGCCGUAACUUCGGGAGAAGGCACGCUGAUAUGUAGGUGAAGCGAUUUACUCGUGGAGCUGAAAUCAGUCGAAGAUACCAGCUGGCUGCAACUGUUUAUUAAAAACACAGCACUGUGCAAACACGAAAGUGGACGUAUACGGUGUGACGCCUGCCCGGUGCCGGAAGGUUAAUUGAUGGGGUUAUCCGUAAGGAGAAGCUCUUGAUCGAAGCCCCGGUAAACGGCGGCCGUAACUAUAACGGUCCUAAGGUAGCGAAAUUCCUUGUCGGGUAAGUUCCGACCUGCACGAAUGGCGUAAUGAUGGCCAGGCUGUCUCCACCCGAGACUCAGUGAAAUUGAACUCGCUGUGAAGAUGCAGUGUACCCGCGGCAAGACGGAAAGACCCCGUGAACCUUUACUAUAGCUUGACACUGAACACUGGUCCUUGAUGUGUAGGAUAGGUGGGAGGCUUUGAAGCGCGGACGCCAGUUCGUGUGGAGCCAUCCUUGAAAUACCACCCUUUAAUGGCUGGUGUUCUAACGUGGGCCCGUAAUCCGGGUUGCGGACAGUGUCUGGUGGGUAGUUUGACUGGGGCGGUCUCCUCCUAAAGAGUAACGGAGGAGCACGAAGGUUAGCUAAUCCUGGUCGGACAUCAGGAGGUUAGUGCAAAGGCAUAAGCUAGCUUGACUGCGAGCGUGACGGCGCGAGCAGGUGCGAAAGCAGGUCUUAGUGAUCCGGUGGUUCUGAAUGGAAGGGCCAUCGCUCAACGGAUAAAAGGUACUCCGGGGAUAACAGGCUGAUACCGCCCAAGAGUUCAUAUCGACGGCGGUGUUUGGCACCUCGAUGUCGGCUCAUCACAUCCUGGGGCUGAAGUAGGUCCCAAGGGUAUGGCUGUUCGCCAUUUAAAGUGGUACGCGAGCUGGGUUUAGAACGUCGUGAGACAGUUCGGUCCCUAUCUGCCGUGGGCGCUGGAGAAUUGAGGGGGGCUGCUCCUAGUACGAGAGGACCGGAGUGGACGCAUCACUGGUGUUCGGGUUGUCAUGCCAAUGGCACUGCCCGGUAGCUAAAUGCGGAAGAGAUAAGUGCUGAAAGCAUCUAAGCACGAAACUUGCCCCGAGAUGAGUUCUCCCUGACCCUUUAAGGGUCCUGAAGGAACGUUGAAGACGACGACGUUGAUAGGCCGGGUGUGUAAGCGCAGCGAUGCGUUGAGCUAACCGGUACUAAUGAACCGUGAGGCUUAACCUU